Molecule: ribosomal RNA, 223 nt
Filed under: uncultured Bacillus sp.
Lineage: Bacteria; Bacillati; Bacillota; Bacilli; Caryophanales; Bacillaceae
Description: partial 16S ribosomal RNA
Rfam family: Bacterial small subunit ribosomal RNA
Source: RNAcentral
GACAAACGGAGGAAGGUGGGAUGACGUCAAUCAUCAUGCCCCUUAUGUUCUGGGCUACACACGUGCUACAAUGGCCGGUACAGACGGACGCAAAGCCGCGAGGUGGAGCAAAUCCUAAAAAGCCGGUCUCAGUUCGGAUUGCAGGCUGCAAUUCGCCUGCAUGAAGUCGGAAUCGCUAGUAAUCGCAGGUCAGCAUACUGCGGUGAAUACGUUCCCGGGCCUU